AAAACAUAGUCUGUAGUUUUUUAUUGUAGAUUACAUCUGCUCAAUGAUUAAUAAAAAUUAAAUGGCCGCAGUACUUUGACUGUGCUAAGGUAGCAAAAUAAUUUGACUUUUAAUUGGGGCCCUGCAUGAAUGAAUAAAUGGUUAAAAUUUGUCUCUUUUGUUUACUUAAAAAUUUACUUAGUUGGUGAAAAUUCCAACAUCAAUAUAUUAGACGAGAAGACCCUUAGAAUUUAAAAAAAUAAGAUAACUUUACGUUUUUCCUUUUUUGUUGGGGCGACAUUAUAAACACUAAAUAUAGAAAAACUUAUAGAACUACUUUUACAAGACUAAUAGUUAAAAAUGAAUAUAAUUACCUUAGGGAUAACAGCAAAAUAUUUUUUUUAGUUUGUGACCUCGAUGUUGGAUUAGGGUCAAAAAUGGUUAAAAAUUAUUUUUGUUAUUUCUGUUCGAAAUUAUUUACCUACGUGAUCU
This 471-nucleotide ribosomal RNA is filed under the name Meghimatium fruhstorferi. RNAcentral describes it as "partial 16S ribosomal RNA". The record is from RNAcentral. Lineage: Eukaryota; Metazoa; Mollusca; Gastropoda; Stylommatophora; Philomycidae.